GAACCAGCACAUUGUUCGGGAGAAAGCUCAUCGCCUGGGUAAGGAAGUCGAGAAGAUGGGUCACGAGGUGUCUUCUCUCCGAUCCCAACUUUCGUCCGCUCAGGACUACAUAUCUCAAAUUGAGGGACGAAUGAAGUUCUAUGAGGACAAGCUGGCCGAGCAAGCUCAUGUUCUGGCCGAGCGGGAUCAUGCUCUUGAGGAAGUGCAAGCGCUCCGGGCCGAUGAAGCUGCUCAACUUGCUCACUUUGCUGAGGAGCUCAAGGCGAAAG
This 269-nucleotide unclassified non-coding RNA is filed under the name Hevea brasiliensis (rubber tree). The record is from RNAcentral. Lineage: Eukaryota; Viridiplantae; Streptophyta; Magnoliopsida; Malpighiales; Euphorbiaceae.